This is a long non-coding RNA of Artibeus jamaicensis (Jamaican fruit-eating bat), 785 nucleotides long. RefSeq lists it as uncharacterized. NCBI's taxonomy places the organism in Eukaryota, Metazoa, Chordata, Mammalia, Chiroptera, Phyllostomidae. The transcript is spliced from 3 exons. The record is from RefSeq and is a predicted model, not a curated record.
UACACCAUAUACCAGUAGACUGCAUUUACCAGAACACUGCAAUUCUUGUAAUGCAUUCAUUGAUCUGAACGCCAAAUGAGUUUUUCUGAUGUGCCUUCAGAUUCUUUCGGUAGUCACACAAAACCUGAUGGUGCUACUGGAGGUAAUGCCAAAGACAGUACAUGUUCUUCUCAAGCUGAAGAGUGAAGAUCUCUGAAUGCACAAGUAAGCAGUGUCCUACAGGCAGCUAGACUUUCUGGAGCCCCUUGAAGUGCACCAGACCAACACAAGGAAAUUGGACACCGAGACAGACACACAUGGAGGGACGUUGAUAUGAAGACACACAGGUAGAAGCUGGCCGUCUACAGGCCAAGGGGACAGGCCUGGAACAAAUUCGUCCCUCACAGCCCUCAGAUGAAGACAACCCUGCGACAUGCUGAUCUUGGACUUCUGGCCUCCCAGACGUUUUCUCCUGAGGUCCUAAGUUUUUUCCUUCUUCCAUCGUUCCACCUAACACCGGCAAGAGGAAGCAGCGUAGCAGAGCGUGGAGUGUGGAAGGGUCUCUGGGGCCAGCCCGUGUGGGUGGAAUCCGAGCAGCUCCGUUCAGCUAUGUGACUUCAGGCAAGUUACUUCAGCUUCCUGAGCCCCUGCUUCUCUACUGUAAAACAGGGGCAACAGUAGUACCUAUUUCACAGGGUUGUCGUGAUGAUUGAAUUAGCUAUUUGUAACGUUAUUGGAAGAAUGCCUAGUUUUAAAAAAUGUGUUUGUUAAAUAACUUAAGAAGGAAAACACAGCUACACACUAAA